This 515-nucleotide ribosomal RNA is filed under the name uncultured bacterium. RNAcentral describes it as "partial 16S ribosomal RNA". It matches the Rfam family "Bacterial small subunit ribosomal RNA", at positions 28 to 523 of the family's 1533-position model. The record is from RNAcentral.
GAUGAACGCUGGCGGCGUGCCUAAUACAUGCAAGUCGAGCGAAUGGAUUAAGAGCUUGCUCUUAUGAAGUUAGCGGCGGACGGGUGAGUAACACGUGGGUAACCUGCCCAUAAGACUGGGAUAACUCCGGGAAACCGGGGCUAAUACCGGAUAACAUUUUGAACCGCAUGGUUCGAAAUUGAAAGGCGGCUUCGGCUGUCACUUAUGGAUGGACCGGCGUCGCAUUAGCUAGUUGGUGAGGGAACGGCUCACCAAGGCAACGAUGCGUAGCCGACCUGAGAGGGUGAUCGGCCACACUGGGACUGAGACACGGCCCAGACUCCUACGGGAGGCAGCAGUAGGGAAUCUUCCGCAAUGGACGAAAGUCUGACGGAGCUACGCCGCGUGAGUGAUGAAGGCUUUCGGGUCGUAAAACUCUGUUGUUAGGGAAGAACAAGUGCUAGUUGAAUAAGCUGGCACCUUGACGGUACCUAACCAGAAAGCCACGGCUAACUACGUGCCAGCCGCCGCCGUAA